AGAAAGUGAGAGAGCUCUUUCAAGGGUAGAGACAUUGGAGUUUGGGGGAAGAAACGCAUUGUCGUUUGCACUUCGAGGAAGGACACUCUAUUUAGUAUUUAGUUAUUUACUACCAUUAUUACUACUAAAACCCUCUCAUGCUUCUGCGUUUUCUGGGGUUUCUCGCUCAGACGUCGUUCUGCUGCUAAACGACGGCACCGACACUCCUUUUCUUCUUCUACAAGCUAUAAACGACAUCACUUUUACUUGCUUUUCUCGUUUCCCCGUCUCUCGCCUUCCUCCAUGCUGUAAAGGUGAGACGAAGAAUUUGCUCAACUGCAAUCACUUUUGAAGAAAGGUAGUAGAUUGUUUCCAGAGUGGGAGUUCGGAAAGUCUAUGCAGUUGAUAUUAGGUUAGAACAUAGUUUAACCAUCUGCCAGCAUGAGCAGAAAACUUAGUGAUAGUUCAAAGCCAGAGAAAUCUUUUUUGUCAUAUGCUGAUCUUCAUCAUGAAAUCACCAAAAGUGAGGAAGAGAUUUCAUUAGAAUCCAAUGAUAAUCAUCUAAAGCAAGAGGACUGUAGAAUGGCAAGCGAGGAAGAUGAGCUGGUGAAGUACAUGUCAAAGUUGCCUGGCUAUUUAGAGAGAGGUGUAAAUAUUAAUGAGAAGGUUUUGAAUGUUGGGGUCCUAGACUGGGCUCGUCUGGAGCAAUGGAAGUGUAGCUAUAAGCACGUACCUGAUAGAAGUAGCCAGAGCUUGUCAUCUACUAGUCAUACAUCAUCUUCUACAUCAGCAGAUGGAUUCUCUGGUAAGUCUAACAGAGGUCCUAGUUUGUCUCCUUGUCAAAGGAUAUUCCGUCCAUCAAUUCAAUCUCACUCUGCGGCAUCUUCAGUGCAAGAGAACCCUGGAGUUGUAAAAUCCUUUGGAGGAGGUGUUGGGAAUUUUCAGAAUGUUGGAGGAGGUCGCCAUAGUAACGGUGUCACAAAUGGCAAACAUGUUCGAGCUGGUGAUCAUCUUCCCCAAAACUAUCCUACCAUUAUACCCAAAGUAUGCAAAAGGGAAAGUACAAAUCCAUAUAAUGAUAGGGAAAGUGGCAUCUUGCCAAAUGUCCGUGGGUAUGAGACAGCAUCAUGUACUAAGCUGGAAAUCAACAAGCAAAAUGGUGGAUCGGAAAAGAGAGUGGAGAAUUUGAGCAAAUCAAAUAUUGAUACUGUUGACCAGGGUGCAGUCAGGGAAAGCAAACCCAUUGUCGUUCUUUUGCCUAGAGACAACCCCCAAAACAGUCAUUGUGCAGCUCCUAAUAUGCAAACAUCCUCAGAUUUUAAGUUAGGAACUCCUUCUCUGACAAAAUAUUCAGAAAAAGUUAAGGAACAUUCCCACAAACAUGCCUGUCAUCUGUCAAAUGAAGUUAGCAGUAGCUGUUCACAGUUUAAAGGGUCAGGAUCUAGUCCCACAGAUCUAGAAAGCAUCAAAGUUCCAGCCUCUACCAUUUCUGCACCAUUUCCUGUAAAAGGGGGAAUAAGCCCAUGCAAAUCUAGAAAGACUGAGGAAAGGAAACAAACAAUUGCCACAACUUUAUCUGCUAAUGGGCCUCCCCAUGGAAUAAAUCAGAAAGUAACUACUGAGAAGUCAAGAAGCUCCUCGCCUUUUCACCGCCUAGGCAUCAGCAUUGGCUUUACUAGCAAAUCUGGCUGUAAGGACACUUCACAUGUGCCACAUCAGAGCUCUUCAGCAACUCUUAAAUCUAGUUCAGAACAUGUCAGGGGUUAUGCUAGGUCCAACAUAUCGGGCAAUGAUAGAGCUGGGGAUGCUGCCAAAGGCAGGACCAGCCCUUUAAGGAGGUUAUUGGAUCCACUGCUAAAACCAAAGGCAGCAACUUCCAGUCACUCCAUGGAGUCAUCUCAGAAAGAUUCAAUGUUAAUAAAUAAGAAUUCCAGGUUAAGUAAUGAGAAAAUCUCUAUUCUUAUGCCUGAAAGAGAAUCGGACAGGGACCACAGGGUAGGUUGUGCCACAAUAAAUGCUGCUAAUUCAUCAAAGGAAAAGAAAUACAUGGCAUCAACGUUUCAAGGUCUUUUGAGAAUUGCUGUGAAAAAUGGCCAGCCCCUUUUCACAUUUGCUGUUGACAACAAUAGCAACAUUCUAGCAGCCACUGUGAAGAGCUUACCUGUCUCAGCAGAGGAUGAAUGCAAAUGUAUAUAUACCUUUUUUACCUUUAGGGAAAAUAAGAAGAAGAAUGGAAUUUGGAUGAAUCAAACAGGCAAAAGCAAAGGUCCUGAUUACAUUCACCAUGUUGUUGCCCAGAUGAAGGUUUCUGAUUUGCACCAUUAUGAUUCAGCCAGUCAGAACUUUGUGAACUCUUCAGCGAAAGAGUUUGUUUUGUUUUCAGUAAAGCCAAGGCAGGGUGAUUCUCAGGUCACUGACUACCAGCCAAAUGAUGAGCUUGCUGCUAUUGUUGUCAAAUCACCUAGAGCCAUCAACGUCAUGAAGUACGAGCAUCAGAGCAGUUGUCAAAAUGACAUUAUUAAAAACAAUGUAGGGGUAACAGUGGUGCUUCCUGGUGGUGUUCACAGUCUUCCAAGUAAUGGUGGGCCUUCUUCACUAAUUGAGCGAUGGAAAACAGGUGGAUCAUGUGAUUGUGGUGGUUGGGAUUUGGCUUGCAAACUUAAGAUUUUUGCAAAUGAAAAACAUACCUGUGGAAAAUCAGGAACGUCCAAAGCUUAUCUUUCAGAUCGAUUUGAGCUUUUCCUCCAGGGGAAUGACCAAGACCAAGGACACCAACCUGCUUUCAGUUUUUCCCCAUUCAGACCUGGUAUAUAUUCAGUAGCUUUUGAUUCGUCGCUCUCACACUUGCAAGCUUUCUCCGUCUGCAUUUCGCUAGUGGAUGGCAGGAUGCCAUAUGAACUUUGUCGAUCAAGAGACUCCACUGGAGUAAAAAACCUGAGAGAAAUGAUGUUGGCACAAACAGAAGAAUUAAAGGCUUUUGGUACUUCGGAGGACACUCCUGCAAGUUAUGUGGCUUAUCCUCCUCUCUCUCCUGUUGGUAGAGUCUAAAGUUAAACAUGGAGUAGAGUCUAAUUCUGAUAUUUCCUUAACUGCAUUGAAUGUGCAAUAAGAGAAACCAGAAAAGAAUGGUUUUCCCACAGAGAUUAGCAUCAGUUGCUCGAAUCUACCGCAUAUAGAUAAUAGCUUCACGAGUUCAUGACUUGAUCUGUUGUGGCAAAGCGGAAUAUGAGAGAAGAAUGAUAAUCCCUUUUUACUCCAUUCUUCCAACAGAAGCAGUGUCUCAAAGGUCAAAGACUCAAAGCACUCCAUUUCCAUGCAAAUGACGUACUCCUCAGCCAGAACAAGCUCUUUAGUGAAAAACACACAAACCCAGGGCUCUUAUCUUCAAUUUGAUAUAUCUAAAAAUACAAAAGCCACAAACACAGCUAAAGCAUGUCACGGAACCAAAACUAACUUCUUGUAAGCAAUCCACAUAUCCAGUGAACUCAUCUUUUUCUGUUUGGCUUUUGAGGAUCGAAGAACAUUCCAGUCCAGCUUAUCUACAUUUGGUUUUCUGAAAGAGCCGAAACUAUUUUCUGGAGCAGAAUGAUUAUCAUCAUCAUCAUCAUCAUUUUUUGGUGAUUUGUUUGGAUAUUGAUCUUCACAAUUUACUUCAGACUGUUUCCUCUUCACCAUUGCCAUUGACACGUUCCGAACCUUCUGUUGUGGAGUUGUUUUCUCUGAAACAAUGAAUCAAAUUUAA
Molecule: RNA transcript, 3721 nt
Organism: Arachis stenosperma
Lineage: Eukaryota; Viridiplantae; Streptophyta; Magnoliopsida; Fabales; Fabaceae
Exons: 5
Source: RefSeq, a predicted model, not a curated record